RNAcentral lists this long non-coding RNA (239 nucleotides) under Phoenix dactylifera (date palm). RNAcentral's name for it is "long non-coding RNA (PDAC_LNC018631)". The record is from RNAcentral. Lineage: Eukaryota; Viridiplantae; Streptophyta; Magnoliopsida; Arecales; Arecaceae.
CAAGCUUUUAGCAUAAAACUGAGACUAAACAAGCUUUUAGACUGGAUUGCACACAUCAACUUUCAUGCUUGCGUGUUCAAAGGACAUUCACCUGUCACCAUAAAGCAAGCAAAAGGAUUUCUUCAAAUAACAAGGCAUACCUUUAGAACAUGUUUCCAGAGUCCUGCAUAUAUGCCACCAAUCUGUAGGGCGCUUUCUUAGCCAGCAUGGACUGGAUACGUUAAUCAACAGUAGAAGUU